ACCCGCUGAACUUAAGCAUAUCAUUAAGCGGAGGAAAAGAAACUAACUAGGAUUCCCUCAGUACGGGCGACGGAAGCGGGAAAAGCCCACAUUGGUAAUCUGCGGCCGUUAGGUCGUCGAAUUGUAAUCUGAAGACGGUUAGUCCAAUUGGAUCAAACGCCGAAGUCUGCACGAGCGCAGCGCCAAAGAGGGUGAGAGCCCCGUAAGGUGUUGGAUCCUACCCGGGCUGGCAGUCCAAGAGUCGUGUACCUUGAUACUGGUGCACCAAGCGGGAGAUAAACUUCUUCUAAGGCUAAAUAUAGGUAGGAACCCGAUAGCGAACAAGUACUGUGAAGGAAAGAUGAAAAGCACUUUGGAAAGAAAGUUAAAAGACUUGAAAUCGUUGAGGCGGGCCCGGUAGAAAUAUAUUCUAGCGAAACGCUCUGGGAAGCCUGUACGCGGGCCACUUGAGCGUUAGCCGAGACAAGAUGGAGUCGUGGGAUGCCAGAGACCGUGCAAUCGGAGGUCUGACUUUCGGCUGUGCUGGUUGGGCGUCCCGCGGCUUGAGGGGCUUUGAGCGAUCUUGUCAAAAUGGUUUUUACCGACUCGUCUUGAAACACGAACCAAGGAGUCUAAGACUAACGCGAGUAUGGUGGUGGAGAAACCAACAUGCGAAAUGAAAGUAAAUGAUGCCAAGCACCCUGCAGCAUCGACCGACUUUUUUCUCUUGGAGAAGGUUUGAGUAAGAGCGUUAUUCUUAGGACCCGAAAGAUGGUGAACUAUGCCUGUGUAGGGUGAAGUCAGGGGAAACUCUGAUGGAAGCUCGUAGCGAUACUGACGUGCAAAUCGUUCGUCUAACAUGGGUAUAGGGGCGAAAGACUAAUCGAACCAUCUAGUAGCUGGUUCCCUCCGAAGUUUCCCUCAGGAUAGCUGGGACAAUAUCGCAGUUUUAUUAGGUAAAGCGAAUGAUUAGAGGCAUCGGGGAUAAAAUGUCCUUGACCUAUUCUCAAACUUUAAAUUGGUAAGAACUCCCGUCUUCGCUUAAUUGAAGCAGGAGGUUCAAUGCGUGUCCUUAGUGGGCCAUUUUUGGUAAGCAGAACUGGCGAUGAGGGGUGCUCCUAACGUUGGGUUAAGGUGCCAAACUACACGCUCAUCAGAAACUACAAAGGGUGUUAGUUCAUCCAGACAGCAGGACGGUGGCCAUGGAAGUCGGAAUCCGCUAAGGAGUGUGUUACAACUCACCUGCCGAAUGAACUAGUCCCGAAAAUGGAUAGCGCUAAAGCGUGUGACCGAUACCCAACCAUUGGUGCGAGAGUUAGGCAUCAAUGAGUAGGAGGGCGUGGGCGUCGUGGCGAAGCCUAUAGCGUGAGCUUGGGUAGAACGGCGUCUAGUGCAGAUCUUGGUGGUAGUAGCAAUUAUUCAAAUGAGAACUUUGAAGGCCGAAGUGGAGAAGGUUUCCGUGAGAACAGCAAUUGGUCACGGGUGACUCGAUCCUAAGACAUGGGGGAAAUCCUUGUUAAGUGCGCGCAAGCGCGUAGUCGAAAGGGAAUGAGGUUAAUAUUCCUCAAGCUGGAUGUGGGCGUUAAGUGGCAACACAAACGAACUUAGAAACGCCAGCAUGAGCCUCUGGAAGAGUUGUCUUUUCUUUUUAACAGUCUAGUGUCCCUGAAAUUGGUUUACCCAGAGAUAGGGAGACACGACUGGAAGAGCACCCUGCGUUUCGGGGUGUCAGGUGCGCUCAUGAUGGUCCGUGAAAAUCUAAGUAAGAUAGUAUCACACCAGGUCGUACCCACAACCGCAUCAGGUCUCCAAGGUU
RNAcentral lists this ribosomal RNA (1795 nucleotides) under Tintinnopsis lohmanni. RNAcentral's name for it is "partial 28S ribosomal RNA". It matches the Rfam family "Eukaryotic large subunit ribosomal RNA", at positions 23 to 1874 of the family's 3401-position model. Lineage: Eukaryota; Ciliophora; Spirotrichea; Tintinnida; Codonellidae. The record is from RNAcentral.